CAAAACUUAUUUCAGCUAACAAAAAGUAAGCACUUUCAGAGCCCGACCCUUCAAGGAGCUGCUGCUGCAGAAGGGUGCUUCUAUGAUGCUCCUUCACCCAACUGUACCCCAUAGUAAGAUGCCCAGGCUCGGGUGGGCAGAAGGAGGAAGGAGGGACCUGGGAACCACGAGUCACCCAUUUCAGUGGAGGUUGAAUACGCAGAAUCAGGAAGCACAGAAAUCCACACCCAUAUCAUAAUGAAAUUGCAGCACACCAAAGGCAAAGAGAAGAUCUUUAAUGCAGCCAAGGAAAAAGCACAGAUUACAGAGAGCAGACGCUGAGACUGAGAGUAGACUUCGUAGUGGCCACAGUGGGAGCCGGAAGCCAUGGGAUACAGUGAGUGUGACUUGGGACUCUUCACCAUCAAAUUAGAAUCAGGAGUUGAAAUUGAUGGUUGUUCAAGAAUCUGCUCACGGUAAAGGGCAUUUCCAGAUGGGAAACAGAAUUUAUCACAACACGAAACUCAGGAGAGUGAGACUCAAGGAACUCACUGAAGAACGUACUUCCAGCAGAAGGAGAGUGGUCCUGGAGAAAGGGUGUGAUUCUGAGAUAGGCAGAUGAACAGAGCAGUCAGUGAAGACGUGAGCAACGGAAAGCAACGUGGACUCUAAAGCUCUGUUAACUGGGUGACCCUGGUUAUCUGGGUUGCGGGGAGAAAAAUUAGAGCCCUCACCAACACCACACAGCAAAUAAGCUCUGAAUGUUUUAAAGCCUAGAAGAUGCUAUGGGAGAGCAUCUUCAUGGGCUCUGGAGAUGAAAGGCCUUCUUUAACAAGGUCCUAAAUGCCCAGUGAAGGAAAACAUUAAGAAAUUCAGGCCGAUCGUGCUGGCUCAUGCUUGUAAUCCCAGCACUUUGGGAGACCGAGUUGGGUGGAUCGCUUGAGCCUAGGAGUUCAAGACCAACAAGGCAAAACCCCAUCUCUACCAAAAAAGUGCAAAAAUUAGCCAAGGGUGGUGGUGCGUGCCUGCAGUUCCAGCUACUCGGGAAGCUGAGGCAGGAGGAUCACUUCAACCUGGGAGGCAGAGGCUGCAGUGAGCCGAGAUCGGGCCACUGGCACUCCAGCCUGGGUAGCAGAGUGAGAAACUGUCUCAAAAAAUAAUAAUAAAAAAAAAAUUUGCCCGGGCACAGUGGCUCAUGCCUGUAAUCCCAGCACUUUGGGAGGCCAAGGCAGGUGGAUCACGAGGUCAAGAGAUCGAGACCAUCCUGGCCAACAUGGUGAAACCCCAUCUCUACUAAAAAUACAAAAAAUUAGCUGGGCAUGGUGGUGCGCACCUGUAGUCCCAGCUACUCAGGAGGCUGAGGCAGAAGAAUCACUUGAACCCGAGAGGUGGAGGUUGCAGUGAGCCGAGAUCACACCAUUGUACUGCAGCCUGGCGACAGAGUGAGACUCCAUCUCAAAAUAAGUAAAUAAAUAAAUUAAUUAAUUAAUUAAAAAAUUAAAAUAAAAAAAAUUACCCAGACAUAGUGGCUCGAGUCUAUAGUCCUACAUAUUUGUGGGGCUGAGGUGGGUGGAUCACUUGAGCCCAGGAUGUCAAGGAUGCAGUGAGGCAUGAUCGUGUGACUGUACUGUAGUCUAAGCAACAGAGUGAGACCCUGUCUUCCCUACCGAAAAAAAAGAAAACACACAACAUUUAUCCAUUAGGUUCUCGUCUUAUAUGGACACCCAAAACAAUUGCAUAGUAACAUCAAAGAUCAUUGAUCACAGAUCACCAUAGCGGUAUAAUAAUGAUAAUGUGGCUGGGCACAGUGGCUCACGCCUGUAAUCCCGGUACUUUGGGAGGCCGAGGCAGGUGGAUCACCUGAGGUCAGGAGUUCGAGACCAGCCUGACCAACAUGGCAAAACCCCAUCUCUACUAAAAAUACAAAAUUAGCCGGGCGUGGAGGCGCAUGCCUGUAAUCCCAGCUACUCGGGAGGCUGAGCUGAAUUGCUUGAACCUAGAAGGUGGAGGUUAUGGUGAGCCAAGAUCGCACCACUGCACUCCAGCCUGGGCAACAAGAGCGAAACUCUGUCUCAAAAAAAAUAAAAAUAAAAAUAAUGAAAAUGUUUGAAAUAUUGCAUGAAUUACCAAAAUGUGACACAGAGACACAAAGUGAACACAUCCUGUUGAAAAAAUGGCUCUUGUAAGACUUGCUCAACACAGGGUUGAAAAUCUGGGUUUCUAAAAAAACACACAUAAUCACUAAUAUGUUUAUCUGUAUCCAAUAAAAGAAAAUGGCCUUAAAAUACAAUAUUAAUAUGAUCAAUAAAGCCACAGAAGUCUG
Molecule: long non-coding RNA, 2302 nt
Organism: Homo sapiens (human)
Lineage: Eukaryota; Metazoa; Chordata; Mammalia; Primates; Hominidae
Exons: 2
Source: RefSeq, a predicted model, not a curated record